CCUACGGGAGGCAGCAGUGAGGAAUAUUGGUCAAUGGGAGAGAUCCUGAACCAGCCAAGCAGCGUGAGGGAAGACGGCCCUAUGGGUUGUAAAACUCUUUUGUCGGAGAACAAAAUCCGGGACGUGUCCCGGACUGUGUGUAUUUGAUGAAAAAGAAUCGGCUAACUCCGUGCCAGGAGCCGCGGUAAUACGGAGGAUGAGAGCGUUAUCCGGAUUUAUUGGGUUUAAAGGGAGCGUAGAUGGGUUGGUAAGUCAGUGGUGAAAGUUUGGGGCUCAACCGCAAAAAUGCAAUUGAAACUGGCAGUCUUGAGUACGGUUGAGGUAGGCGGAAUUCGUGGUGUAGCGGUGAAAUGCUUAGAUAUCACGAAGAACUCCGAUUGCGAAGGCAGCUUACUAAACUGCCACUGACAUUGAUGCUCGAAAGUGUGGGUAUCAAACAGGAUUAGAUACCCUUGUAGUC
This 460-nucleotide ribosomal RNA is filed under the name uncultured bacterium. RNAcentral's name for it is "partial 16S ribosomal RNA". It matches the Rfam family "Bacterial small subunit ribosomal RNA", at positions 338 to 795 of the family's 1533-position model. The record is from RNAcentral.